Long non-coding RNA from Apis laboriosa (Himalayan honeybee), 762 nucleotides. RefSeq lists it as uncharacterized. The record is from RefSeq and is a predicted model, not a curated record. Lineage: Eukaryota; Metazoa; Arthropoda; Insecta; Hymenoptera; Apidae. The transcript has 4 exons.
GCUCCGCCACGCAGCCCAAGCUCUCUCUAGCCGCGCGCUGAUCGGCCACGUUCGUCAGCCGGGCCCCACGCAAAAAGGCAGCGGGGCCGCGCGCGAGCCGACUGGACACACACGACGGACGAUUUCUUACUUGGUAAAGAUUCGAACACGUAACACUUAAACGAUUGGACACAACGGGCCGGCUUGGCGAGCAAACGCGUUCCGGAAAGAACAGUUUAUACGUGUAUAUAUAUAUAUGUAUACACAUGUGUAUAGAUAUAUAUAUAUAUAUAUAUAUAUAUACAUAUAUAUAUAUAUGUAUCCAAGGAAACCGAUUCAUUCUUAUAUUAUUGUAAUUAUUAAUACGUAUUAAUAACGCUCGCCGCUCGAGGAAACAGUUCGACGACGUGGUGUGACACGUAACACGAGUGGAAAACACACUCGAAACACGCGCGCUCCUAUCGAUAAACCUGACAACACGAGAGAAGAAAACCACGGGCAGUGACUGUGAGGAAACGAACAGGAUAUCACGGACCGCUAUCCAGUGCGCUGUUUUCGUUUGUGAACACCGUUUACGCACGUCCUCGAACACGUCUUCUUGGGAUCGCCGCGAUCGCACAGAUUGACGAAUGACGACGUAACAGAGAGCUGGCUGGUGCGCGGAUACUGGGACACAAGAGGGGACGGCAUCUUUCAAAUCGCCACGGCAACGUUCAUCACGAGAUAAGAAGAAUCGCGGGAAGGAAAAUCGAGACGAGGGAGCGAGGGGCACCUAGCCCUUUG